This 29-nucleotide non-coding RNA is filed under the name Rattus norvegicus (Norway rat). Lineage: Eukaryota; Metazoa; Chordata; Mammalia; Rodentia; Muridae. The record is from RNAcentral.
UGCUGGAGCCAGAUGAGAGUAUUUAUUUU